GUAACAAGGUUUCCGUAGGUGAACCUGCGGAAGGAUCAUUAUUGAAUUAAACCCNGGUCGGGUUGUUGCUGGCCNCUAGAGGCGUGCACGCCGCCAUCGUUUCAACCUCCUGUUUGGGGACUGCUGUGUGGGCUGCACACACGGUCUAUGUCUUUAUAUACUCCCUAAAGUGUAUAGAAUGUCUUAUUGGCCUCAGUGCCUUUAAUCAAAUACAACUUUCAACAACGGAUCUCUUGGCUCUCGCAUCGAUGAAGAACGCAGCGAAAUGCGAUAAGUAAUGUGAAUUGCAGAAUUCAGUGAAUCAUCGAAUCUUUGAACGCACCUUGCGCCCCUUGGUAUUCCGAGGAGCAUGCCUGUUUGAGUGUCAUUAAAUUCUCAACCUAACCAGCUUUUUGAUUGGAAUAGGCUUGGAUAUGGGGGCUGCUGGCUUCACAGAAGUCGGCUCUCCUUAAAUGUAUUAGUGGAACCAUUGUUGACUUUCCCUGGUGUGAUAAUUAUCUACGCCUCAAGGCUAUGGGUUUUGCUUAUAACCGUCUUUACCAAUUGACCUCAAAUCAGGUAGGACUACCCGCUGAACUUAAGCAUAUCAAUAAGCG
RNAcentral lists this small RNA (596 nucleotides) under Termitomyces sp. MD388. RNAcentral describes it as "eukaryotic LSU rRNA". The stretch from base 214 to 367 matches the Rfam family "5.8S ribosomal RNA". Lineage: Eukaryota; Fungi; Basidiomycota; Agaricomycetes; Agaricales; Lyophyllaceae. The record is from RNAcentral.